UUUCCUUGGAUCCUGGUUAAGUCCUAUCUCAGGGAGCUGGACCAUGAGACCAGAGCAAAGUCACCCCUACCCUGUGCCCGGCACCCAGAAGAAAGAAAGAGUGCCUGGGACCCAUCCUGAGCUGCCCGGGCCUCUAAUGAGUUUGGAGUCAAGCUGGAGAAAGGAGACAGAACAAUAGUGACAAGUAAAUGACAGUGUCCAGUUAUGAAUGAGAUUGGACAGAAAACAAAGAGAAAGAUCACAAGGCUCUGUCUCCAGAUUUCCAAGUGCCCUGGCUGCGAGCCGAUCGUUAGACUAGACAGGCCUGAUUGGGCCUUGAGGGAUGGGUGAGAUACGAACCUACAGGAGGGGCAGGGGGUGGCCCCUCUUGUAAGAAGCCACAGGAAGGCUGGCUGCUCAGCUGCCUUCUGGCUUUGCCUUGAGAUGGCAGGACUGAUGGGAGAGCCUCUCGCAUCCUAAGAAGCACCUCUGAAUCCUCUGAAACAAAAUAUUGCUGCAACAAUUGCAGUAGUAGAUGUUCUUUUAAGUCCUGUUCCACCUGGAGGCCUUUCUAGGAUUUUCUACUGUAGCUUCUUGACCAUUUAGAGCUUCUGGCCCCUUUCUCAAAAGUUUGUACACCUGCUUAAUCCCAAGGGCUGUGGGCUCUCUGAGAUCUACUCACAGGCCUUGGGAGGCAGUCCCAGUUGGCGUAAGUCGCCUUCUAGAACUUGUAAUUGAUGUGGUACCCAUUCUUUUCCAGGCUUGGGGGUUCAGGGGUGCUUGUCAAGAUGCUGUCAGCAGGGAUUUCCUCCAGAUCUUAAGCAAAGAAAGCAAAUUUGUCUCACAAGACCCUGAUGCUGGGGGAGAGACAGCCCUGCCCCUCCAAGGCCACCCUGCAGGCUUUGUCUACCAGGCACUUCCUCCUCUCUCCCAGGAAGCACGUGUGACUCUAACACUCCCUUGCGCUCCCACGUUGCCUCUUGGAGAUUCUGGGGGAGAAGGCGGUUUUGACUUCUGUGAUUCGAAGAUGCUCUCCCAAACAGCAGAAGGAUGUUGCUUGGCUGGCAGUGGGCACACAUGCUGGCCACUGCCCAGAUCCCCUGGCUGUAGGGUGCCAGGGCUGGGAGAGUCCUCCCACACCCCUGAGCACCACGGCAUUCAUGGGGAGACUGAGGCACAGACAGGCUGUGCAUUCCCAGCUUGCUCUGCUUGCUCCUGGACCAAGUAUCCAACCUGGAAAGUCCUCCCAGUGGAAAUAGGCAUUCUCUCAGCCUCCCAGCGCAGGGAGAAAUAGGAAAGGGCCCUUCUUAGAGGCAGCACAGUGCUUGGCACAUGGAAAGCACCUGGUUAACUUUGCUAAAGAAAAAUGAUUCUCCAAAGCCCCUUAGCGAGGGCCCUCCCACUCAACCUCUCCUUUCCUCAGAAGCCUGGCCUCCACUAGAGGCCAUUCUCUCUGGAGCAGGAUGCUGCUUUGUCCUCAGAGCUGUGCUUCCCAGGUGAGUACCACUCCCCUCCACUGGAUACAGACAAAGAGUCUGCAUCCUCACAGCCUAGCAUGGUGCCUGGCCCCGUCGGACUCCCAACAAAACAUGUGUUCCCUCCCUUCCAGUGGGAAAGAGCCUCUUUUUCCUUCUGGAAGCAGACUACCUGGAAAUGAAUUUAAGUUUUUGAAAACUGCU
This is a long non-coding RNA of Bos indicus x Bos taurus (hybrid cattle), 1658 nucleotides long. The record is from Ensembl. NCBI's taxonomy places the organism in Eukaryota, Metazoa, Chordata, Mammalia, Artiodactyla, Bovidae.